Molecule: long non-coding RNA, 2674 nt
Organism: Heterocephalus glaber (naked mole-rat)
Lineage: Eukaryota; Metazoa; Chordata; Mammalia; Rodentia; Bathyergidae
Source: Ensembl
GACCAUGCUGCUCUGCUUCCCUUCUCUCUGCCUCUAGGCAGCUUCUUGCUUCAUGGUUAAAUGUCCCUGAGCAAGGAGCCUGGGCCAAUCCUGCUGGGGCUGGACCUGGAGGCCCGCCCCAGGGAGGAGGGACUGAGCCCUGGCCCAGAUGCAAAGGCGGCCUGAAUCGCCGGUCUUGAGACGUGUCUGUGAGUGCAAACCUUCAGAUUUGUCAGCCCAACAUGUGAGCAAAGGCUUUCAAAACCUCCAGGGGUGAUGCGCAUGCUGGUGCACUUGGGAAAUGUUAUUUUGGCACCUGUCAUUCUCACCACGAUAUUUUAAAUACUUUUUGAAACAGAGCUUUAUUUUAUAAAAAAGCUAACCAGCAAGCAAGAAAAAAAAAAAAAGAAACCAAAACAAAAACUCAAAUCAACAUGAAGGAAUGAGGCUUUCUUUUCCAUGGUGUGUUUCUUCCCAAGCUUUCUAAAUCUGCCAGGACAUCUGAAGAUGAGAAGAAAACAUAAGUGGAUGGAAAUCACCCUCCAGCUACCCUGCUUUGAGAAAGAACAUCAAACAUAUAAAAGAGUAUUUCCUGGAGGCUAAGGGUGGGUGUGCUACGGCGUCCAGGAAGAAACCUGUGGUGGGAAUCAGGGCUGAAGUUCUGCUGUCGGCUCUGUGUCGCUUGUGUGCUUUGGACAAACCUGUCACCCUCCAGUUUUCAAGGGUUCCUUUCAAUCCAAUGAUGUGAUUGGGGCUCAGAGAUUUUCGGCUUUUCUCAGUGGUGGAGUCUUUGGUUGAAAUAAAUUCUUAGGAGAAGAUCAAGAUAUAAAUCCGAUACAAAGAAAAAUAAAGAGACCCAUGGGUGGGGUGAUGAGCUGGAAUCUUGCUUGGCCAUCCUCCGCAGCUUCCAUUUCCCCUCACUGGGGCUUCCUGAGACAAUGUCAGAAACCCAGCUAAUACUGUGAGAUGCUUUCAGAUAUUACUGUAAGGGCGUAAUAGUUACACUCGAGCCUUCAGACAGAAACUACAUACUGAGUUCCCUCGCACAUCUGUGGACCCAGUUGCUAGAAAUGGAGCGACCAGUGAAGCUGCAUUCCUUACACUGAUUCUUUCAAUGCCUCAGAUAUUUCAAAUUUUUCCAGCUUUGGGCCUAUUCAUCAGGAGUUCACUCUUCCAAAAAUACACUGCCUCCAUAUUUUUGCAUGAAUAACCCCUUUCUCUUCGUUUAAAUUUUAAAUAGAUCCAAUUCCGGAGUCCUUUCCUGAGAAGCAGGCUCUUUGGGAAGAGCCUCACUGGAAUUGAUUUCUUGCAAGGCCUCAGAAGAAGCUCAGCAAUACGCUCACACACUGUACGUUUUUGUGAAAUUUGUGAGAGUCAGAUAUUCCAACAGCAAUCCAUUAUGAUCAUUCUUUUUGUUCUCUCACCUUCCCCUCUGUCACAUUUCCUUCAUGGUGGGUGGCUUUUGAAAUCUUCAUUUCUCAUUUUCUUCAUCUUCAAAAUGAGAAAAAGAAUAGUAUCUACACCCGAGUGGUGUUUCAAGGGUUAAAUAUAUUCAUACAGGAAAAUUGCUUGGAACAGGGCCUGAUGGGCAGGAAAUGCUUACUGUCUUAUUAUUUUCACUUAUUUAGAAAUCAACAAAAUAGUAGAUUACUGAAUUCAAGUCCUAGCUGGACCUUUGAAGACCAUAAGUAAAUUGUGACUAUUAAGAAUAUCAAAGAAGGCAAGGCCUAAACUCCUCCCUCUCGAGUUGAUGCAGUGAAAGCCCAGAGAAUGAAAUUGUUUGUCCAAAUCUUGCAGCUAGGGAGGGUGCAAGGUGAGACUGAUGCCCAGGUCUGCUGAUGGAAAGUCUGUCAUCGGAUGGAAGGAAAGAAGCCUGCUGGGAGAAUUUGCCCAAGCCUCUACUGACCUCUUUCUCACACUCAGUCCUGUGGAUUCCAGCUGCUUAGCAACAGCUAGAGAAGAACUGGGGUGUCCCAAACAGCCUGCUGGGCACUGACAGAAGCUAUGACUAAGGUCCCUCACACCACUGUGUAUCCAGUUGUUAGAAAAUGGAGCGGCCAGUGAAGCUGGCCAGAACUUGUGACUCCUAUUGCCACCAAACUGAUUUUGCAUAAGGCGGACGUGCAUUUUAGAAUUUGGGUAAAUUCGUUUUGAGGCUACUGCUUCUUUCUAAGGUACCAGCAGGAUGCAGAAGCAGAUCGUAGAAGUUAUAACCGGAUCUCAUUAUCACACACAAGGAUCAACUCCAGAGGGUAGGAGAUCUCUCUAUAAAGAAUAAAUUCAUACUCUGGGAGGGGGACUGCAAGAUGGAGCUCGGCCUGGGAAACUGAGUGAGACCCUAUCUCAAAAUAAAAAAUAAUAAAAGAAAAAGGGCUACAUGUAGCUCAGUGCUCAGGCACCAGGUUCAAUCCCCAGUACUGGAAAAAAUAAAAUAAAGAAUAAAACCAAAAUAUUCCUGGAAGAAUGCACGGGUGAAAUGCAGACAGCCUUGUCACUGUGUCACCAACAUCUACAUGCCAUAAAAAGGGUUGAUAAGUUGGAUAACCGUAAGGAGCAAACACAUAAAUAAUGCAAAAUAGGACUUUCCUCAUGGCAAAACAAAGAGGUGCAACCCCUUCCCACACUAAAAACCUACACAUACCAUUAAUAAAAUCAAACCCAGGGAGGGCUGGGGAUGUAGCUCAGUGGCACCGGG